UGAGGAUGUAACCGGCGGAGUUGCGGUAGUCGGCGCUCGCGUUGCCGAUGACCCGGCCGGUGCCGUCGACGGUCGCGUCGGCCGUCUUCAU
Molecule: transfer RNA, 91 nt
Filed under: Paractinoplanes ferrugineus
Lineage: Bacteria; Bacillati; Actinomycetota; Actinomycetes; Micromonosporales; Micromonosporaceae
Description: Actinoplanes ferrugineus tRNA-Ala
Source: RNAcentral